Amphiprion ocellaris (clown anemonefish) is the source of this 4112-nucleotide long non-coding RNA. RefSeq lists it as uncharacterized. The record is from RefSeq and is a predicted model, not a curated record. Lineage: Eukaryota; Metazoa; Chordata; Actinopteri; Pomacentridae. The transcript is spliced from 4 exons.
CCAAACUUCCAUUCAGGGCGGCUGGGAUUUAGCGUGACGGGUUUGCUCUGGUUCCUCUUGAGUUGUUGUGUUGUGUGUGGUCUGUGGGUUCUGUAGCCACUGAGGGGUGGCUAAACUGAAACUAGAGCUUCUGUUAGCAGCUGCUGUUUUGGUGAGGAGUUACCAGUCUUGCUGAAGACUCUAGCUCCUAUUAGCAGCCAGCUAAUUUGAAAUUGUUUGGUUGCCAGAACUACUUGGUUAGCUUUAUUUGAUAGUCAUACUGAGAGGAAGACAGGAAAAUGGGGAGAAUGGGGGAAUGACCUCCAGCAAAGGGCCAUGAGUGAAGUCGAGCUACCUGGAGGCCCUGUCUGGGACUAUUUAAUAGCAAGAAAACUACAGAUUUCCAACUCUACCCAACGCUGCACACCAGUUGCAGGACAAUCUGCCUACAGAGGUGCUCUUCAUAAUCAUUUCUGCAGAUUUUGAAUGCAAACAGAUAAAUUAUCCUACCUGACGGGACUGUUCCUGCUGUCUGGAUCUCGAGCCGUUACCAUGCCCACCUCCGUGCCACUCGGCACGUUCUCAUAAACAUCCAUGAUAUAAUAAUCCAUAGAAAAGAUGGGGGCUUCGUCCACGUCCCCGACUGUGAUUUUAAGGGUGGCAGUGUCUUUGAAAGAACCCAGGUAGGAAAAACGAGGAUCCACGUGAGUGUUAGUGCCCUCGAUGUGGAGCGUGUAGGUCUUCUUCCUCUCGUAAUUCAGAGGCUGUUGGGUGGAAAAAGGCACCGUAAGAUUAGAAAACACACAGUGCAAAGUAGUCGCACCGACAAAAGCGAAUGUUAAACAAAUGCACUUAUUUGCUAUAAGGGGCCCGAACACAGUUGUAAUUACUUUGCGGUACCAUCAGUGUCAGACAAAUUAUCGCUGCUUCUUUAAAGUGUAUUACUUCCUUGAAUAUCUAUCACUCUCUACAGAAGGGGGUCAUUUGUCAUAGGCCCUGUAUGCUGGGGGAAUAUGAGGAGUUUAUCACUGAAACAUUGGUCCACAGCACCGCUAGAGGUCAAAAUCUAUACGCAUCUUCAAGUCUGUACCCAAAAAACACAUUAUUGAUGCCAUUUGCUUCAAAAGAAGUGCUGAAGCGGGGAUGUGCUUACCUUUUUGAGGCUGAUGAUUCCCUCUCUCGUGUCUCUGUCCGUGGAUAUGGAAAACAUGUUGGCCCCCUCCGAGUUAAUGAUGCUGUACUUGAUAUCUGCAUUGACGCCAAGGUCCUCAUCGUUGGCUUUGAUCUUCCCGACUGGCUUCCCCACUUGAGCUGAUUCAGGGACGUACAGCUGGUAAUUUUCUGUGAACAUCGGAUGUGUACCCAUUUAGAUACAGUGGGGGGAAAAACAGUUUCAAACGCAUUACCAACCUCUCCCUGCCCCGCAUCAACGUCCUCCCCGAAAAGGGCUUAGCUAAGCAAUUUGAUUCUGUCACCAUUUUUUUUUUUUUUUGUUCCUGAGGGAAUGUCAUUAAAAAUACUCCGCAGUGCUUCAAUUGACAUUAAAUGCUAAACCGGCGCUGAUGGUGCUGCAGUGGAGCAGAUCAAACUCUGAGGCAGAUGAUUAUUCAGAAAAUGCUGAUGGUUUUGGAGCACUUUUUCACUGCGGCGCAAAUGAAAAACUCCCAAAGCCGAGGGGGAAUUAUACUUGAUGAGGCACUUGCAAAGACAAAGAAUCAUAACUUUAUCAUUGCUUAAAUUUAUCAUUAAAAUGGAGAAAACUCCAAUGGCAGAACAGCGGGCUGUAAUGAAUGCUCAUCCAAUCUAGCUAGUUUGGAAAAAUUUAACUGUAAUAUUACAAUACUGAGGCACAAAAUAAGCAUAACACAUCAUAGAGAGAAGCGCUAAAUAGAUCUACAAUAUGAGGGGAAGUGUUAAGUCCAUUAGAAUUAAACACUAAUGCUAAAAUAUUUAUUCAGGUACAAUAAAGAGAAUAUGCUGUAAAGGAUAAUAGUCCUGACUUUCAUGUGCAAACAUAUGAGGACUUUUAGUCUGUUGAGUGAAUGAUUUCAAAAAUACGUGCUUUCUUUCCAUUUCCAAAAUGAAACUACAGCACAUAAUUCUUCUUACAAAUACCUUUUAGCUAGUAUAACUGCCUAAAGCAUCCGCCACGGAGGUCCUCUGCUUAAGGUUGAAAAUAUCUGAGAGCACCCAGCUUGGCCAUGUAGCGCCACAGAAGCUUAUGUAUUCAGGUUAGCAGAGGAAACGCAUUAACAUCGCCAUUGGUAAUUUAGCUACUUUAGCCUCCUGGCUAAUUAACUAUAAAAGACGCCAAAAGGCAGUAAUUUCCCGAGGACAAAGAGUUAGACACUACUGACAAAUACAGUGUGUGAUCCUCCAGGUUUCUGCAUUUUAUUCCAACAUUUACCUCCAUCUAUUUUUAGAUGGGUCUAAUUUUUCAACCUCAUCUUUAUUAAGUUACUAGGGACCAAUCGGGAUGUUUUUUUCAGGGCUGAUACUGACUACUGGUGUCAAGAAAGGCUGAUGACUGAUAUUUAGAACUGAUAUACAUUAAAUGGUGUAUAUUAACAGCAUGCAAUAGCAGGGAAACUUAAAUUAUUAACUAGGCUUCUUCAAAAACAAGGUUGUUACUGAACAUGUACACUAGCAAUAGGAGCAAUUUUGCUGUUGACUGUGAGAUCUAGUUGAAACUGAACUUUUUUCCUGCAGUUAUGACUACUGAUUAUUUCUGAUUUGUUAAUAUUACACUAAUUUAUCACAUUUAUUGCCCACUAAGGCCCAUAAUUUAAAGCAUUAUUAAUUAUUGUUUUCCACAUGAAGUUUCAGGGUAAUCUGUAGUUGUCUCUUAACUUCGCAGCUAGCUGCUAGCCUAGCCCUAGCUGAUUACAGUCGAUAAUUAGUUGAUCCCUACAUUUGACCAUUGUUUCUUGCAGAUGGUUCAACACAAUUAACUUUGAAAUGUGCCAUUUGUGAAGCGACUGCAGAUAUUCUGGUCAUCCUUAGAUGCAUUCCAUACGUACUCUGGGGAAACGUGGGCGGGUUGUCGUUGACGUCUGUCAGCGUGAUGUUGAUGGUGGUGGAACCAGAGAGGCCUCCAACCUGGCCUGCCAUGUCUUUGGCUUGGAUAACAACAGUGUAGUGUUCUCUGGCUUCCCGGUCCAUGUUGGCUAAGGCAGUCCUGAUGAUUCCUGCAAGGUUGGAAGAAGAAAACAAAUGAUCCGUUAGUGGUUAUUAGCAAUGAAGACAAUACGUGUCGCUUUGAGAAUAGACACAAGAAACAGGAAAAAUUAAGAGAAAUCAUGCUGCGGAUAUAGACUAAGACAUGAAAAGAGAUUAUUGUUACUGUCCUAAUAUUUUUCCCCUUUCAAAACCUUUUUUCACUUAGACUACUCACAUAGCACCCUGUCAAUCUUUCCUUUAAAGACUAACACCAUAAAACUGCUUCUUUCAUCUUUGAUUCUCUCGGUCUCUCAUUGUCAAGGUUAGACUUUCCUCACUUUUCAUUAGAUUUAAAAUGACUAUGCAACCUUGGAUCAGGGCAAAAUGUAACUUUCUAAGGCACCCACUCCGUCACAUUUAUUACUACAACAACACAGCAAACACAGCCAUGAACUUUCACAAUGCUAACUCAGUGAUAUAUGACUGCACCUCUGCCCACUACAGAGAAACUGUGCACAGGUAAAUUGCAGCGCAGUAGCAAGCUAAAAAGACAGAAGCAGUACUGGGUUCCCUUGUUGCUGGGCAGCAGGAAAUAUAUUGAAUGUAAUACGUUCAUAUCUUGCACAUAUAUUUGUCUGUGUGUGUUUGUGUGUGGCCAUGACGUGUUUGUUGGUCUAUAUUAGUUUUCUGUGUGGGUCUAUAUCUGUGCCAGAGGGUUAAUUCGCCAUCUUAGCUCCCGAAACCACAUCACCACACAGAGCCUGAUUUAAUAUGUUCUACCUGUUACAUCAGUGUUUGUUGUAAAUUGUGCCUUUUUUCCCCCAGAGCCAAGACCCUCUGGCAACCGUUGAACUUGUGUUCCUGUGAACUUGUGAACCCUGCAAUAAUACACAAUGGUUGUCCGGGAGCAGUGAGACCUAAGAGUCGAUGGCAUGGUGUUGAUCAUGGGGUGAAAUAAACUUUGUUGUUGUCGA